Molecule: small RNA, 26 nt
Filed under: Bombyx mori (domestic silkworm)
Lineage: Eukaryota; Metazoa; Arthropoda; Insecta; Lepidoptera; Bombycidae
Description: ovarian small RNA-27366
Source: RNAcentral
UCCCUAAUGGCAGCCAUGUGGCGGGG